ACUCCUACGGGAGGCAGCAGUGGGGAAUAUUGCACAAUGGGCGAAAGCCUGAUGCAGCAACGCCGCGUGAAGGAAGAAGGGUUUCGGCUCGUAAACUUCUAUCAACAGGGACGAAAAAAAUGACGGUACCUGAAUAAGAAGCCCCGGCUAACUACGUGCCAGCAGCCGCGGUAAUACGUAGGGGGCAAGCGUUAUCCGGAAUUACUGGGUGUAAAGGGAGAGUAGGCGGCAUGGUAAGUUAGAUGUGAAAGCCCGAGGCUUAACCUCGGGAUUGCAUUUAAAACUAUCAAGCUAGAGUACAGGAGAGGUAAGUGGAAUUCCUAGUGUAGCGGUGAAAUGCGUAGAUAUUAGGAAGAACACCAGUGGCGAAGGCGACUUACUGGACUGAAACUGACGCUGAGGCUCGAAAGCGUGGGGAGCGAACAGGAUUAGAUACCCUGGUAGUC
Molecule: ribosomal RNA, 446 nt
Filed under: uncultured bacterium
Lineage: Bacteria
Description: bacterial SSU rRNA
Rfam family: Bacterial small subunit ribosomal RNA
Source: RNAcentral